AGAGUUGAUCAUGGCUCAGGAUGAACGCUAGCUACAGGCUUAACACAUGCAAGUCGAGGGGCAGCAUUAUCGAAGCUUGCUUGACAGAUGGCGACCGGCGCACGGGUGAGUAACGCGUAUCCAACCUUCCCCAUAGUAGGGCAUAGCCCGUAGAAAUGCGGAUUAAUACCCUAUGUAUUCCGAGGAUGACAUCUGAUUCGGAACAAAGGUUCACCGCUAUGGGAUGGGGAUGCGUCUGAUUAGGUAGUAGGCGGGGUAACGGCCCACCUAGCCGACGAUCAGUAGGGGUUCUGAGAGGAAGGUCCCCCACAUUGGAACUGAGACACGGUCCAAACUCCUACGGGAGGCAGCAGUGAGGAAUAUUGGUCGAUGGGCGAGAGCCUGAACCAGCCAAGUAAGCGUGCAGGAAGACGGCCCUAUGGGUUGUAAACUGCUUUUAUACAGGGAUAAAGUCGGGGACGCGUUCCCCGUUUGCAGGUACUGUAUGAAUAAGGACCGGCUAAUUCCGUGCCAGCAGCCGC
Molecule: ribosomal RNA, 521 nt
Filed under: uncultured bacterium
Lineage: Bacteria
Description: bacterial SSU rRNA
Rfam family: Bacterial small subunit ribosomal RNA
Source: RNAcentral